CAGAGUGUGGCCGAGAUAGUUAGGCGACUCCCUUACACUGAGUAAACAUCCAUGCAAGUUGGAUCACCCUGA
RNAcentral lists this transfer RNA (72 nucleotides) under Potamalosa richmondia (Australian freshwater herring). RNAcentral's name for it is "tRNA-Val". The record is from RNAcentral. Lineage: Eukaryota; Metazoa; Chordata; Actinopteri; Clupeiformes; Clupeidae.